CAGUAGCCGCGGUAAUACAGAGGAUGCAAGCGUUAUCCGGAAUGAUUGGGCGUAAAGCGAGCGCAGGCGGUUAGAUAAGUCUGAAGUUAAAGGCUGUGGCUUAACCAUAGUACGCUUUGGAAACUGUUUAACUUGAGUGCAGAAGGGGAGAGUGGAAUUCCAUGUGUAGCGGUGAAAUGCGUAGAUAUUAGGAAGAACACCAGUGGCGAAGGCGACUUUCUGGACGAAAACUGACGCUGAGGCGCGAAAGCCAGGGGAGCGAACGGGAUUAGAUACCCCUGUAGUCCCUGUCUCUUAUACA
Molecule: ribosomal RNA, 301 nt
Filed under: uncultured bacterium
Lineage: Bacteria
Description: partial 16S ribosomal RNA
Rfam family: Bacterial small subunit ribosomal RNA
Source: RNAcentral